GCCAGCCUCUUCAACGGCAAUUACCGAAGGGAAAAAAAAAACCUAAAAGAAUGAAUUCCCUGGGUGGUUUUGUUAGUUCUUCAUUAUUUUCUCUUUGAAAAUUAUUCUUCCAUACUUCAUCUUGAACUGCCUUUUUUUUUCAAUCUGAAUAGCCCUAUUGCUUCUGCUGAAUACAUGGACAUGACCACCCACACUUAGAAAAACCUUACCUCUUGCUGAGCUCCUCUGAAAUGGUAGGCAGCAGGGCUCAUGCAGCAAUAAAACUUCACGAUCACAGGGGAAGGAAAUAGCACAAGGCUAGGAAUCCUCCUGCUGUUUCCAUAUGAUUUCCUAAUUUCAAAAUAGGUUGAGAAAUAAUAGGGGGGAAAUAUAUUGUGAGAGUUUCCUCUGUGUUCUUCUGUAAUUUGCUGCCUGGCCUGUUGUAUGUGCGAGGAACUCUAUUAAGCUGCUACCCCAAAAGCAGCAGCUUGGUGUUCAGCCUAACAAACAAGAAAAGUUUAUUCUCCAGUGGUGCUAAAAGGAAGUUUUCCUCUUGAACCAAGGAAGUGGAAUCACAGUGGUCACUGCCUCUGGCUUUUGAUUUUUCCCUUCUCCCCAGAUGACAAUUAAGAUUGCUCAUCCUCAGUGCUCAGUUUUGGUCCAAUACUGGGGUGAGAUCCAGCUGUGCUGAUUUUGAUGCUUGUCCCCACAGAUGGUCAUAAUGGCCUGGAUUUUGGGAUGUAGACAUCUGGAGUUUUGUAGCCUUUGAACACCUCAGAAGAAGUGCUAAUGCACUACUUCACAGAAAACGUCCCAGAUACAAACUGGCCUGCUAAAACAACAGCUGGAGUCCCAUUGCUCUCUGAACGACUUUAUGUGAAGAGGCAUCAAUGUAUGGAUUAGCCUUCCCAGGAACAGGGAUCCAGCUCAGAGGAAGCACUGGUAAGUUAUUUCAGUAGAAGAAAAAUAACUACAUAUCAUACUGAGAAGAGAAAAAAGGAAUC
Molecule: long non-coding RNA, 983 nt
Filed under: Coturnix japonica (Japanese quail)
Lineage: Eukaryota; Metazoa; Chordata; Aves; Galliformes; Phasianidae
Description: lncRNA (ENSCJPG00005003342.1)
Source: RNAcentral